CCCUUAGAUGUCCUGGGCCGCACGCGUGCUACACUGACGCAUACAGCGAGCACUUUCCAGUUCCGAGAGGCUACUGGUAAUCAUCAAUAUGCGUCGUGAUGGGGAUAGAUCUUUGGAAUUCUGGAUCUUGAACGAGGAAUGCCUAGUAAUCGCAAGUCAUUAGCCUGCGAUGAUUAAGUCCCUGCCCUUUGUACACACCGCCCGUCGCUACUACCGAUUUCGAGUGGUCAGGUGAAUCUUUCGGACUGUGGGCGCCCUUGAGGUGUUCGCGGAAAGUCAGGUAAAUCUUAUCACUUAGAGGAAGUAAAAGUCGUAACA
RNAcentral lists this ribosomal RNA (318 nucleotides) under uncultured eukaryote. RNAcentral describes it as "partial 18S ribosomal RNA". It matches the Rfam family "Eukaryotic small subunit ribosomal RNA", at positions 1470 to 1796 of the family's 1831-position model. The record is from RNAcentral.